AGUCUUAUAGUCAACUUAUGAUUUUAAAUUGCAAAUUUAAAGGUGAAUGUAGUUCUAAGGCUU
This 63-nucleotide transfer RNA is filed under the name Sericus brunneus. Its description in RNAcentral is "tRNA-Cys". Lineage: Eukaryota; Metazoa; Arthropoda; Insecta; Coleoptera; Elateridae. The record is from RNAcentral.